GAGUUUGAUCGUGGCUCAGGAUGAACGCUGGCGGCGUGCCUAAUACAUGCAAGUCGAGCGAACGGACGAGAAGCUUGCUUCUCUGAUGUUAGCGGCGGACGGGUGAGUAACACGUGGAUAACCUACCUAUAAGACUGGGAUAACUUCGGGAAACCGGAGCUAAUACCGGAUAAUAUUUUGAACCGCAUGGUUCAAAAGUGAAAGACGGUCUUGCUGUCACUUAUAGAUGGAUCCGCGCUGCAUUAGCUAGUUGGUAAGGUAACGGCUUACCAAGGCAACGAUGCAUAGCGACCUGAGAGGGUGAUCGGCCACACUGGAACUGAGACACGGUCCAGACUCCUACGGGAGGCAGCAGUAGGGAAUCUUCCGCAAUGGGCGAAAGCCUGACGGAGCAACGCCGCGUGAGUGAUGAAGGUCUUCGGAUCGUAAAACUCUGUUAUUAGGGAAGAACAUAUGUGUAAGUAACUGUGCACAUCUUGACGGUACCUAA
This 490-nucleotide ribosomal RNA is filed under the name uncultured microorganism. RNAcentral's name for it is "bacterial SSU rRNA". It matches the Rfam family "Bacterial small subunit ribosomal RNA", at positions 9 to 482 of the family's 1533-position model. The record is from RNAcentral.